UUGCCCUACGGGACGCAGCAGUGGGGAAUAUUGCACAAUGGGGGGAACCCUGAUGCAGCGACGCCGCGUGAGUGAAGAAGUAUUUCGGUAUGUAAAGCUCUAUCAGCAGGGAAGAAAAUGACGGUACCUGACUAAGAAGCCCCGGCUAACUACGUGCCAGCAGCCGCGGUAAUACGUAGGGGGCACGCGUUAUCCGGAUUUACUGGGUGUAAAGGGAGCGGAGACGGCAGAGCAAGUCUGAAGUGAAAGCCCGCGGCACAACUGCGGGACUGCUGUGGAAACUGCCCG
This 288-nucleotide ribosomal RNA is filed under the name uncultured bacterium. RNAcentral's name for it is "partial 16S ribosomal RNA". It matches the Rfam family "Bacterial small subunit ribosomal RNA", at positions 334 to 639 of the family's 1533-position model. The record is from RNAcentral.